RNAcentral lists this ribosomal RNA (502 nucleotides) under uncultured bacterium. RNAcentral describes it as "partial 16S ribosomal RNA". It matches the Rfam family "Bacterial small subunit ribosomal RNA", at positions 28 to 523 of the family's 1533-position model. The record is from RNAcentral.
GAUGAACGCUAGCGGCAGGCCUAACACAUGCAAGUCGAGGGGCAGCACAGAAACAGCAAUGUUUUGGUGGCGACCGGCGGACGGGUGCGUAACGCGUAUGCAACCUACCUUUAACAGGGGGAUAACGGAGAGAAAUUUCCACUAAUACCCCAUAACAUCGAUCAAGGCAUCUUGAUUGGUUGAAAACUCCGGUGGUUAAAGAUGGGCAUGCGUUGUAUUAGGUAGUUGGUGAGGUAAUGGCUCACCAAGCCUACGAUACAUAGGGGGACUGAGAGGUGAGCCCCCCACACUGGUACUGAGACACGGACCAGAAUCCUGCGGGAGGCAGCAGUGAGGAAUAUUGGUCAAUGGGGGCAACCCUGAACCAGCCAUGCCGCGUGCAGGAAGACGGCUCUAUGAGUUGUAAACUGCUUUUAAACAGGGAUAAAGCACAGUAUGUAUACUGUGUUGAAGGUACUGUAAGAAUAAGGAUCGGCUAACUCCGUGCCAGCCGCCGCCGUAA